This 236-nucleotide ribosomal RNA is filed under the name Glomeromycotina sp. RNAcentral describes it as "partial small subunit ribosomal RNA". The stretch from base 40 to 236 matches the Rfam family "Eukaryotic small subunit ribosomal RNA", at positions 686 to 884 of the family's 1831-position model. Lineage: Eukaryota; Fungi; Glomeromycota. The record is from RNAcentral.
GGGUCAGUAGGUUGGUCGUGCCACCGGUACGUACUGGUCUCACUGAUUCCUCCUUCCUGAAGAACCGUAAUGCCAUUAAUUGGGUGUUGCGGGGAAACAGGACUGUUACUUUGAAAAAAUUAGAGUGUUUAAAGCAAGCUAACGCUUGAAUACAUUAGCAUGGAAUAAUGAAAUAGGACGAUCGAUCCUAUUUUGUUGGUUUCUAGGAUUGACGUAAUGAUUAAUAGGAAGUUGGG